GGGCCGUCCCCGCGCUUGCAGGGCCGCGGCACCCGGGGCCCACGGGCGCUGCCCGGCAGGCCAAGGCUCUCACAGGCAACUUCAAGAUGCUAGACUUGGAUACUGUCCUACCCUCUUUCCCAGCAGAGUCUGAGGAAAGCCAGGAGACAGCUCUGCGGUUAGAGCUGGCACGGGUCACCUCGUACCACGGCGCUGCCACGAGACCCCUGCGAGGGGACAGCACAGUGGCUUUUGCCUUCAGACCUGAUGAAGUGCUCGUGUGCCUGCAAGCUUGGCUCAUUUUUUCCCCCCAUACCAGCUGGUCUAAUAAAUUACCUCUUCCUAACAACCUCAUGUUAGCUGUGUCCUUAGAUCAUACACAGCUAAACACUAUUAUGCCACCUCAAACUUGUAUUAAACCAUGAUGAAGAGUACUGUUGGUUUAAGAAAUAAUAAAAAAAAACCAAAGUCACCCAAACUACUACCUUGCAUUACAGGUACUCAUUCACCUUGUCCACUCCUCACAUAAGAUGAGGAAAGGAUCACAUUUAAAUUGUUGCCAGGAACAUGAGCAUUUUCUGUUUAAGCUGCUCUAAAUGUAUAACAAAAUACAUAGACUGCACAUUUUAGUAAGUCUGAGGUGCCUCCAGGCCUGAUGGUUAGGUUCCCUAACUGUCUGCCAGAGAGAGAGAGAGUUUAAAACAAGCAGUUUGCAUGAUUUAAAUUUUAAAGCAACUUUUUAGCCUAAUUUGAGAAAGGGAAGGGGUGGGGAAGGAGCAUUUUGUUGCAGAAAAAUCCCCUCUUUUCAAUCCACAUGCAAAAAGUCCUUUCUUUAAGGUCCGGCAGUUGGAGGCUGAACUCCCGUUUCAGACAUGCCUUUAUUUGGAAACAAUGCAGGAGCAGGCAAGGCAGGGCUUUUUCAUAGAUGCUGCCUGGCCACAGGCAAGCUAACAACAACUUGGCAAAGUGACAGGCAGCUCUGCACAAUCAAUACAGCCAUGUGCUCCUUGAACAAAAAAAAAAAUAACAAGCGUGGAGUUUAUGGUUUGAAAAAGCAAACAAACAAAAAACCCCUUUGUAAUUGCUUAUUAAUCAUUAAAGGAAAGAGGCAAAGACCAGAGCUCCAUACAAAUCCCACCAGGAUGAGGCUCACCCAGCUGCACUCUUGGGACAUAUUGCCUGGAGCACAGUGCUGUCUUCAGGACUGCAGUGUACCUGCUCUGGAGCACAAGCACCAGCUCCACAGCAGAGGCCACAGCCAUGCAAGGCACAGGCAGAGCUGGCUAUGAACAGGAGCUGGCUGAAGUGCUGACAAAGAACUCGAUGUAAAACUCCAACUGCACACCAUCAAUGUACCAAAACGCAGGAAUUUGGGGCAGAUCCCACACUGGCGUUGGGACUCAGCUGUUCCCAGCAAUACCUGCAAGAUGGCUCCUUGAGAUCACAUCCCCCUUCUUCCCACAGACAGGGAGAGAGACUAUUUUUACACAGCCACUGACCACUUUGACAAAAAUAAAUGUAAGGAAAACUUGAGGCCAGUCAUCUUCCUGAUACUCCUCUCUCCCAGGGAUCUUGGGCACAUUAGAGGCAGAGGAGACCAAGUGAGAAGAGCAGACCCCAAGAAUUUGAAGAAAUAACCUAACCUCAAGUGAAAGAUCAGGAUCUGCAUUUUCUUCCUCCACCCUGCUUUCUCUCACACCAGGAAAAACUCGCAGCUAGAAAAGCUGACAUAUCUUCAGAAAUUAUUCUUUUUACUUUUGGAAAAAGAGACUCCAUCCAGCUCCAUUCAGGUUUUCUUCCCUACCUUCCUCCUCCCUAGCAUUGCCAAGAUCAGAUACAGGAGCCAUACAAAAAGGCAUGAAAGCAAACAGAAAGAGGAGGUAUCUAUUUCAAGGUACUUUCAUCCUUUUCAGAAAAAAACCUUUUUCUUCCAGAAGUUCAAGUUCACACUCUGCACAAUCUUUACCUUGUGGUUUUCCCUACACUCCUGAAGCAUUGGUCCAGUGCUGUUGAACUGAGGAAAAAAAAUCCACUCCACUGCUGAUCCCAGCACUGGUGCUGGGUGGACCACCACCACCACUAUGCCAGUCUCUCACUUUCAAUCUCUCUAGACCAGUGUUCACAUCUGGCUUCUAUGAUAGGAGCCACUCAUACCCUCUGAUGGAUGGUCAAUAUGAGAAAGAAGGGCAAAUACUUAUUGAAAUACUAUUUUGCUAAGGAAAAGCCUAGCUUUCCAACUAACAUGGUUUUUCUUUCCAGUGGACAGGUUUGUGGUGGAGGUUUGGCAUCUGUUCAGUUCUUCCUCUGUGACAAGUAACUUUCCUGUCUCCUGCAUGGAUGCAAUCAGCACAGCUUUGGCUGCCAGCAUGUGACACCCAAAAGCCUUUCAUCCACAACAGUCUUGAACUUUGUUUUCCAUCAUGAAAUACAUCUUGCAGAUGUAUAUUUUUAUUUUUCCACUGGAUCUCAGGUAUGGAGGCCACAUUGUUAAAGCAUCUUUAGUAAGCAGGAAGAAGGUGGGCAGGACACAGUUUCUGUGGCACAAGUCCUUCUUGAAGGAAAAGGAUUCAAGACUGAGCAGUGUGGAAGACCUCAUGCUUACUUAAUCAUGCAAACUGCAGGAUCAGGCAAGUCAUAAAUAUGCUUUCCUCUUGGAGCACUCUGAAGGCCUCUGUCAAAAAGCCUGCCUGUGUUUUACACCCAAAAGCAGAUGCUGCCUCUUUAUGCGCCCUCCAACAAGGGCUGCUGAAAGCUGAGAUUAAGAAAUUAUUUACCUUCUCAAAAGAUUGCAUCAUAUCUCUCUAGACAUUAGCAAUUUCCUGUUGCACUCCCAGAACUGAUGAGAGUUCUUGAAAGUAUUAUUUGAUGAUAAAAUGCAUUUCAAAAUGUAACACUUUUUUUCAUAUUUGUAGUCACAAAGCAUCUCUAUUAGACUUACUGACUGCUGAAGAGCUGUCUCUUAAGAAGAAGGAUUUCAAUUUCAAAGCAAGUUCGAAUGAUUUUCUAAAUUAUCCUAAACUUGCAGAAUCAAUUUAACCUGUUUUGAG
Long non-coding RNA from Onychostruthus taczanowskii (white-rumped snowfinch), 3026 nucleotides. RefSeq lists it as uncharacterized. The record is from RefSeq and is a predicted model, not a curated record. The transcript is spliced from 3 exons. Lineage: Eukaryota; Metazoa; Chordata; Aves; Passeriformes; Passeridae.